RNA transcript from Ceratina calcarata, 8393 nucleotides. It is a transcript of the gene named cytospin-A, with no coding region annotated. The record is from RefSeq and is a predicted model, not a curated record. NCBI's taxonomy places the organism in Eukaryota, Metazoa, Arthropoda, Insecta, Hymenoptera, Apidae. The transcript is spliced from 12 exons.
GGUAGAAGAGCGGCUCGAGUGACCAUAAAUCGGCUUUCGAUUACAUCAGAUAAUUCGCCCUACCUCUCUUUUUACCGCGGCCACCACUGUUCUCGAUGCAUCUACCUGCUGUGUGUGAACGCGCGUACGCUCGUCGUCGUCGCUUUUGAUCAGAGAUUUAAAGACGCGGGUCCGAGCGAAAGGAGGAAGAAGGAGGCGUAGUGGACGAAAGAAACGGGAACAGACCGAUUCUUCUCAUCGUGGACUCUAAAAAGCCCACUACGACGAUGAGAGCACUGAGAACGGCACUCGGUCCGACGUCGGACAACCUACUUAAAUGCACCUACCCGGUGCAUCAGAAGUCAAUGAGCGCCUCGCCGCGACUUCUUUCGCGUUUAGCGUUUAAACCGAGGUCCGCCGUGAAAACGGUGUUUUUCCUUAUUCGCGUUUUCUGGUACUGACCAUGUAUGAUCUGGCUCCGACCGUUGGACCUAUAGAACUCGGAAUAUAUGUCGAUUAGAUGAAAACCUUUGUCGCUAGAAAUGUACGCGUGCAGGCAAGCUAUCAUGAAUGGAAUCGUUGAGUACACGUACGCUUUGAAGCGACUUUUAAGUAUGUUUUACGUGUGUACAUGUGCUUGUGAGUACCUAACUGAGUAAGUCGAUCGAGCGAAAACUUGGAACGGAAUGACGUCAGCGCGCGCCAACCGAGGCAUCGUCGACUUUAUCUUUAUCUGUUCUCUUUCUACCUAAUCGUUUAUCGUCCGAAAGAAGGACCGGAGCGCGAGAUACAAGACUACGUGUUCCGGCCGUCGAAUCAUCGUUCGAUCAUUAUUUGCUCUUAAUCAGUUUACUUUCAAUGGUACCGAUGCAUCAUUGCAUGCUUUCCGUCGGAAAAUUCUGCACCGGAUUCGUUCGCGGUAUCUCUCUGAAAGAAAAAUACUUUCGCGCGGCCUUUAUAUCGAUCGUACGUCGUCGCGUCCUACACCUGGCGAUAACGCGUUAUCUUUCUCGCGUCUCCUUGGAGAAAGAUAAGAUGCAACUCCUUAGAUACUGACGAUCAUCAUGCAUUUAUAUUUGUACAAGCAUUUAGAAUUGGUCCGUGGUUUUAAGGAAAGUACGCCCGAUCGCGGUUACGAUCAGGAUGAGAGAUAAAUCGGAGCUCGCGGAGGAGGAACGCAGUCACGUCUCUGUAUUGCAUAGAAACGUCGUACAGAAUGUUGAUCGGUAUAUGAAUAACGCGCGAACGUUUAAGCUCGAGCGCAUCGACGAGCCUACGUGACUACAUCGCGGAGGACGUUCUCCCAUUGAUAUUUCGAAUGCGCGCACAGUCAUAAGUACACCCGGCAAAUGUUAAUCGAAUUAACGACAAUUAUGCGCCGCCUCGAACAAAUCGGAUCUGUGAGGCGUUGAUACGCGAACGAUCAUCGUUCUCAACGCGACAUGUUCAUAUCUUUCGUCGUAUCUGUGAAAUCCGACGAUCGUCCGUAUCGAUGAUCGCAGUCGGCUUCCUCUUCUUCGGGCUACCCUGCGCCUUCGCGUCGUACGACGUUCGCGUUCCAGAUUCGUUCGAAACCGAGGGGAUUUUAAGUCACGGUGGUGUACGUUACGUCGAACCGUACCAUGUGUCGACCGUAUGAGAAAACUGGUCGACGCGCGAUGCGACGACGAAGCGUCUGCAGAUUUUGUGGCCUCCUCGAGCGGAGCAGCUUCUGCUUUCUCUUCUUGCUUCCUCCGUGUCGGUCGGACCCUCUUCCACGUGUGUACACGUACGUACAACAUGUGCUCGAAAGUCGGCAAAGAUCGUCUUAAGCCCCGCUGACGCCAAUUACGUGUUCGUAUCUCUGUUGCUCUUUCGUCUUUGCUUUCGAUCGACCUCGCGAGCGACCGUACAUGUGUACACCAGAAGUCUUUCUGAACGUGCAGAAAUUUACGCGAUACAGCAUCCUUUAAUUAUUCCUCGACGAGAAACGAGCAGGAAAGACUGCGAACGACUGCGUCCUUUUACACGGGGCAAUGCGUAACGGGAUGGACAUCGAAGAAGACCAGUGGCAUCGUCGUUAUAUAUACGUGCAUAGCACGCUGGUGAACGUCAAGAGUAUUCGACGGCGUUAGCUGUUAGAAACGCUUACGUUCGUGUUCUCGAGCCCUUCGUCCCGUCCGGCAAAGUGGUCGGGUGUCGAGUGUCGGGGCCCGUAGUGGGAAAACCGCUCUGGAGGGGAUACAGAACACAGUCUCAGGUCUCAGCUCAGUCAGUUCUCCUCGCUCUUCUCGUCGUUCUCGACUCGACCACUCGUCGUCGUCGUCGUCGUCGUUGUAGUCGUAGUCGUCGUCGUGCGUCCUCAGUUCCAGAUGCACCUUCGCCAAGUUCGCGUCGUUCCUUCCCUGCGUUCCGAAUAAGGAACGACUUUGCGAGUACCGUGAGUAAAGAGUGAUCGGCCGCGCGGGGUUCUCUUGUUCGAGAGAUGAGAGAUUCCACGUCGAAGUGAUCGGUGUCGUACGAAAGCUGGAAAACCAGUGAUAACUAGUAGGAACGGGGGAUCGACUACCGAUGCGUCUGGACGACACCUCGACGGUUCGUUUCACCGUGGAUACGUCUCGAAGCGGUUUCGAUUCGACGUCCAAGUAUGCGAGCGUGUCCCUGGAUCGGGCAUCUUCUCGAGGAAACGCGCGAGCGUGUGGACGCAACAAGUGGUCGCCGUCGGAGGCUGAGUCGAAUCCUGGCUCGAAUCUCUCGUGCCACGUUCGACUCCUACGUCGUCGGAGCAUCAUCCGCGGUGUAACCUUAGCUCCGAAGGAGUCGCGGAACGAGAGGGGGGAGGCUAGAACUCGUGAACGUGGACGACGAAGUGGCUCGAGGUCGAGCAUCUCUUCGAAUUCUCGUGUCACACGUUGCGCGAAGUCGAUCGCUCCCCGUCGUGUAACCUCGGCCUCGAGAAAGUUUGGGAAAAAGGAUAUUUUUCCCUGUAUUCCGGUUAAACUUGAAAUCUAACGUUAAUUGGACGACACGUGAAAGUGGCACGAGAGCUGGCUGCUCUUCUCCGUACCAUUUUAUCCAAGUUUGUUCGUAUUCGUACGAAGGUGGAAACGAGUUACGUCGAUUGUGCCUGUGAUACGCGUUUGUUUCUCGGGCAUGGGAUUCCGAUCGAUCGCGAGAUCGCGUUGUCCGCGUAGAUCGAGUGCAACGGUGCAGGCCACUUUGGUGCGUGAAUGACCCGCCCUCACCGAUCGAACCAUGAUCGUCGACGAUAUCGACGAUGCGUCAAUCGUUAGACGAAUUCUCGCGUUUAGGAGAACAACGAUCUAGUUUUAAUUUCGAUCCGACUGGAAAGUAAAGUGCGACGCGCGACCAUGAUGAAGUUCAAAUCGCUGUUUCGCAGAGGCCAACAGAAUCAGCAGCAGCAGCAGCAGCAGCAGCAGCAGCAGCAGCAGCAGCAGCAGCAGCAGCAGCAACAGCAGCAGCAACCACCGACGCAGCAGCAACAGAAUUCGCUGCGUCCGGCGCCGAGCGUCUCCUCCCUGGAGGCGAAGAACGAGAAUCCGGCCGCGGGUAACUGGGACUCGAAGGGGGCCAAGGGGAACGCGAAGGCGGGCUACAAUCCCAAGGGACCCGUCAAGGGGUCCAGGAUGCAGGAACUCGAGCGUGAGAUCGACGUAUUACGCAAGGAACGCGCCCGGCUCGAGUCGAAUCUCCGCGAGGCCUCCUGUGACGCUCAGAGACUACGGGAGCUACGCACCGAACUCGCUUCCCUCAAGGAACAGCACAGCUUGGAGUUGGAACGUCUCGCGGAAGAGAACGAAGCUCUUCGGGCAAGACUCAGGGACGUGGCUCAUUCCCCUCUGUCCGAUACGGAGAAGCAACAGCUGCUUCUGGACGCCUCGAGGCUGCACAACUCCGCACCGGCGUCGAUAGCGAUUCCCCAAGAUGAAGGUUCCACGACCGUGGCGAACGUGCCCCAGGACAGUGCUCAGUGCACCACUCCUGAUUGGGACAAACGCUCUUCCAGCUCCGAAGUUUCCGUCGCCUGCCUGCAGGACAGGAUUUUACAAAUGGAGGAGACGCACUAUUCGACGAACGAGGAGUUGCAGGCAACGAUUCAAGAACUGAGCGAUUUGCAAGCGCAGCUUACGGAGUUGCAAGCCGACAACGAGAGAUUAACAGAGGAGAAGGACGUGCUUCUGGAGUCGCUGUGCAGGCAAACGGAGAAACUGGAGGACUCCCGGUCCAAGGUCGACACGCUACAGGGUCUGUUGCUGAGGGAGGAGCAACCUCAGGAAUCGUCCAAGGGAUACAACACGGAGCGGGAGCAGAAAUUAGUAGACCUUUUGAAGAGUGCUCAAGAAGAACGGGAAUCGCUGCUGCAAAAACAGGAGGAGUUGACGUCCGAGGUGAAGAACCUUCGAGCGGCCGCGGAGAUCAGCGCAGCGGAGACCGAACGGUUGACCAAGUGCGUGCACGUGCUCGAGUCUUCGCUGGAGACGGCCAACAUCGAGCGGAGACAGUUGGACGUUGAGUUAGCGGAGGCUAGACAGGAUGGUGCGAAUCGAAACAUAGAGAUCAGCAGGUUGGCCACGCUUUUGGAGAAUGCCCGAGCCAAGAUCGAGGAACUGGAGCAGUCGAGGCAGGUGGAGAACAAGAGCGAGGCGGACGAACUUCUGGACGCGGCCAGACGGGAGAAGGAUACUUUGGAAACGCAGGCGGCAGCGCUGCAGGAGCAGCUGGCGCGCUCUCAUUGCGACCAUGAUCGUCUCAGGGAUCAGUACUCGCAGCUUCAGGAAGAAUACAAGGUAGCACGCAAUAAUGCCAAGUCGGCGAUCGACGACCUGGAAUACAGACUGGACCAAUUGAAGGACGAGAGAUUGUCCGUGAGCACGGAGCUGCAAUUGGUGAGGGAUUCCCUGGCAGAAUUGCAGGCGCAGUGUCAGAGGCAUCUGGAAGACAAGAGGGAGUUGAAAGCAGCGUUGAACGAGGCCCAGAGACGGGAACGCGAGGCUCAGUCCCGUCAGUACGAGUUGGAGCGUUCUCUCGCCGAGGAGCGUAAACUGAGACAGGAGGAGGUCGCCGAGUGGGAACAAUUUCAGACGGAUCUCUUGAUGACCGUUCGGGUCGCGAACGAUUUCAAGACAGAGGCUCAGACCGAGUUGGAGCGCGUCGUCAUGGAAAAUAAGGCGCAGAGGGACAAGUUGAGAGCGUUGGAGGCGCAGCUCGACAAACUGAACAAAGGCAGCACCGCAGUUCCUCAAUGUAAGUGUUUCGGUAGCACUGCUGGAAAUUCUCGCAAACCUGCGAGCUGUAUUUUGAAACGCGGCCGUACCAUCGUAAAAAGACGGCACGAUCCCAAAAAAAGCGCUUCGACACCGGGUUCGUUUAACAAUGAGAUGAUAACGACCGAACUCCGUGGUGCGAGUAACGCGAGAGAGAAACGUUCGGUUACUCGUCGGGAGGAUGUCGAAUCUGAUAAUUGCAACGCUGCAGCGUAUUCAAAAGAGUCCAGCUCCGAACUGGACAAGAAACUAAUUUCGAAUGAAGGAACUGACUCCACCCGUUCUUCGCUCGGAUCGAAAGAUGGAGAUUCUCAGGAUCCAUGUCUCUCGAAGGGCGAUUGCGAUCGGAAGGAAACUUCUUUCGUCGAAAGUGCGAACGAGUUUUCGAAGAUCGCCGAGGAUUACCCGAAAUUGUACAUAGUCCCAGCAUCAGUUUCGGAGACGAAGCCAGUUGGUCGGUCGACUUUAUUGAAGAACAUAAAGGGGAUUCAGAACGUUGGGACAGAUUCGUAUGGUAUCGAGAUUUCGAACAGCCGAUUUUUCGUCCCCAAAAACUAUGUGUACUCCGGCGUGGAGAACGCGAUGGACGACUUGAGAUUCGAAGUGGAUCCGGAGAUGAGAAAAGUGUUGCAGGAGAGCACCGAAACGAACUCGGUGAUUGCGGAAAACAAUGGCAGUCAGGAAAUUCGACCGUCACAGAGGAUCAGGGCGGAGUAUACGAGGGACAAAGAAAAUUCAUUGGCGUUACGAACCUCCAGAGACUCGGAGGAGGAACGCGAUCACGAUUCCUCCAUGCAGGCGAAACGUAGACUGUUUCUGAAGAAAAACGAAUCCAGAACGGGCAGUGGAAUCGUCGACUCUCUCUUGGACACCACCGGCAAGCAGAAUAUUUUCAACUCCGGAUUAAAAAAUCGAAUCUUCUCCACUUCCUUGGACAAUCUUACUCUACGAACCUGUUCGAUCGACAACGUGGACAAUAGCGAAAAUGCGAUGCCUCCUAGACCGACUCCAAGGCCGAGAAGUAUCCAGAUUGCUUCUUCUCUGUACCGAAAACCGGAAAUCUUCGACGUUUCGAAUACAAAAAGAGAAAGGGACAGAGACAGAGAGAAACAUAGUUCGAUUCUCGCUUCGGUGGAGAAUUUACCCAGAGCAACCGUGGACGCAUCGUCGGCGUCCCCCGCGUCGAAGAACACUUCGACCACGCAUUCGAAGGAAGAAGUGCGCGCAGUGGAUUCCGUUUCCAGGCGAAAGAUUGCAAACGACGCUUCGAAAUUCGACGACGAACUGCAGGAAACCAGAAGGAAUCUGACUCUUUGCGAAGCGAACAGAUUGAAACGAAUGAAAUUUUUAAACACGAACUUAUUCCAAUCCGAGGCCAGCAUAGAAUCCGACGCUAGAAACGGCCCGGUAGUCGUCGAUGAGAAGAAGAAAAGCAAUCACACGGACGUUGAACACGAUUCGCCGUCGAAGGAUAAAGAGUCUUCCAUAGGGAGGACCUCGUCUUUGAGAGAGAAAUUUGAGACGAUCGUAGAGGAUGUGGAACUGAGACCAGGCCGGCAAAUAGGUACAAUACGCGACCCUAACCAGAAGGUACCCCAACAGCCGCCACAGAGGCCGGCGAGUACACCGACGGAUACUCAGCAGUGCGUGCUGACGAGCGUGCAGCAGGAGAUAGCCGCUCGUCGGAAAGCCAACAUAUCGCGGCAGGACUCGAGGCUGUCCGUGAAGUGUCUUAUAGAAAGUAUCGAGAACGCCACGAAGCAAGCGAAAGCGGGCCCUGGGAGUCGUAGCAGUUCCACGUCCUCUCUCAAUUCCAUCGGAACGAACGAUAUAAUGACGUUGAAGGCUCCGCUCCGGGACCAGCAGCAGAUCAAUAAUCUCAUAUGCACGGCGAACACCACGAACAAUAACAAAACUCAAACUACGAUCGCUAGGAAGCCGUUGUCAGAUACAAAGACUACGGUGCCCGUGGUGUUGAAUCCUGGCGAGCUGCUGGACUCCGCCGCGUUGAACGCCAAGGCCAUCGACUUCGUGCGCCGGAACAGCGUGACCGACUUGUCGGAACGAAAGGACCCUCUCCUCGGGCUGAUCAAGAACGGCGGGUCGAAACGCAACGCGUUGCUGAAAUGGUGUCAGAACAAAACGAUUGGCUAUCGGAAUAUCGACAUCACGAAUUUCAGUAGCUCGUGGAACGACGGAUUGGCGCUCUGCGCCAUACUCCAUUCCUAUCUCCCUCACAAGGUACCCUACGACACGUUGACGCCCGUGGAGAAGAGGAGAAACUUCUCCAUCGCUUUCUCCGCCGCCGAGAGCGUUGGCAUACCUACCACCCUGAACAUAGGGGAGAUGUGUCAACUGGAGCGGCCCGACUGGCAACAGGUAAUGACGUACGUGACCAGUAUUUACAAGCACUUCGAAACAUAGUUUAUUGGUUCUGGCAUCGCCGUGGCGGGUCCCCGAGGCUCUCCUACCGAGAGUGAAUCAAGAACAAGAUCGUCUAGUCAAGCAGAAACUAUCCAACGAACAGAUACUAUAGGGAAAAUAUUCUGUCCGAGGGCGUUUGAUCUUUUUGGAUUUUCAAGGAUCGCUGGAUUCAUAGCACUGCCUGUACGUGCGUCUAUGCCUAAUAAUGUACGAUCGCGAAACUCUCUAGGACACUAAGCAGCCUAACACCAAAUGGAAUUGCUUCUUUCUUUCACUAUGAGACUGAACGUUUUUAUGUAUAUAUAAAAAUAUAUAUACGCGGGCACACGUUCGUGCGCGCGCGUUACUACAAGAACCAGAUGCAAAGAAAUAGAAGCAGUCGUUUGUAGAGAAACGAAUACGCAGACGGAGACGCAGGAAAUGAAUGCAAGUUUUUACGUCGAGUUUUCUUAUGCGUGUGCAUCUUUAUCAGUGCCUCCUUGAAAAGCCAACGCAUCAUCAUUUUACGACACUGAAAUGCGAGAAGAAUUUUUUCUCUAUCGAUCGACGUCGUGAAGCUUCACAUCUCUCGCAACUACGAACUAACCGAAGUGUCGAGAUAUAUUUCCGUUCCUCUCGUACCACAAUACGCUGUCUGACAUAAAACAAUAAACUUGCCUAAUGACUACUUAUGGGAUCGGCGUACGAAGAACGAGAACCCAGAAGUAAGAAACGGGUUUAAUGAUC